RNAcentral lists this ribosomal RNA (286 nucleotides) under uncultured archaeon SYA_2000_70. Its description in RNAcentral is "partial 16S ribosomal RNA". It matches the Rfam family "Archaeal small subunit ribosomal RNA", at positions 521 to 805 of the family's 1478-position model. The record is from RNAcentral.
GUAGCCGGCCGGAUAAGUCUCUUGGGAAAUCUGGCAGCUUAACUGUCAGGCUUUCAGGAGAUACUGUCUGGCUCGAGUCCGGGAGAGGUGAGAUGGUACUUCAGGGGUAGGGGUGAAAUCUUGUAAUCCUUGAAGGACCACCAGUGGCGAAGGCGUCUCACCAGAACGGACCUGACGGCAAGGGACGAAAGCUAGGGGCACGAACCGGAUUAGAUACCCGGGUAGUCCUAGCCGUAAACGAUACUCGCUAGGUGUCGGCAACGGUGCGACCGUUGUCGGUGCCGUA